RNAcentral lists this ribosomal RNA (253 nucleotides) under uncultured bacterium. RNAcentral describes it as "partial 16S ribosomal RNA". It matches the Rfam family "Bacterial small subunit ribosomal RNA", at positions 524 to 776 of the family's 1533-position model. The record is from RNAcentral.
UACAGAGGUCUCAAGCGUUGUUCGGAUUCAUUGGGCGUAAAGGGCGCGUAGGCGGCGCGGAUAGUCGGCGGUGAAAGCCCGGAGCUCAACUCCGGGUCGGCCGUCGAUACUUCCGGGCUUGAGCACUGUAGAGGCAGAUGGAAUUCCGGGUGUAGCGGUGGAAUGCGUAGAGAUCCGGAAGAACACCGGUGGCGAAGGCGGUCUGCUGGGCAGUUGCUGACGCUGAUGCGCGACAGCGUGGGGAGCAAACAGG